Fukomys damarensis (Damara mole-rat) is the source of this 446-nucleotide long non-coding RNA. RefSeq lists it as uncharacterized. NCBI's taxonomy places the organism in Eukaryota, Metazoa, Chordata, Mammalia, Rodentia, Bathyergidae. The transcript is spliced from 3 exons. The record is from RefSeq and is a predicted model, not a curated record.
CCCAAGCUCCGGCCUCGGGUGGUCCCCGCCCAGUUCAAGCGCCUGUUAUUGUUGGGACCCGAGACCAGAGCGAGUCCGCUGAGGCAAUCGCUUUCUCGGGUCAGUGACUUCCGGGACUUCCCCCAUCCCGUUCUCUCCUUGUUCUUCGAGGCAGGCUUGCUGGUCGCUCCUCCCGCCACCCAUCAGGCCAUGGAAGGGGUGAAAAACCUGAAUCCUGGAAGAUUUUAGGAAAUAAAGUGAAACAAGCCAUGUUUGAAGCUUACCCCUUAGGAGAAAAGCUGCCCUUCCUCUAAAUACAUGUGUGAGGAAGCAUGUGACCUAGCCUGGAAAGCAGCCUAUAACCUUGAGAAGAGGAAUCUGACACUGUGAAUGGAAAUGGAAAGAGAUGGAAAGAACUGACAUUCUCAUAACAUUAUUGAGCUUCUGUUUUAACGAUGUCGUGAAGC